UGAAGGUGAAGAUGACGAAGAUAAGUACACUGCACCACUGUACCACGAGCAGCUAGCGUCAGCACGAGAGGAGACAGAGAAGAAAGAAGCAGCAGCAGCCAUUAGCCACACUACGGUGUAUUCUAUUAUCGCUGUUCAUGACCUCAAAGGAAGCACACACGCCCUAUGGUGUGCCACAGGCUGCCCAAGCAGCAAUGCGCGGUAACGCUGGGAUGGCCGUCCAUGGUAACCACGUUCAAGCUGAAGGACCAGCGAGCAACGCACCAGCCCAGCCGGCUGCCUACCCGGGUCAAGGAUACGGCCAAGGAUACGGAUACUACGGCCAACCAUACGCAUAUGGUCAAGGACAGUACGUACAGGGACCGGUUGGACAAGGACAAUUCGGUCAAGGGCCCGAGUUAGGGGCGUAUGGACUUGGAGCCGUGGCAGUGGGAGGUGUGGCAGUUGGCGCAAUGGAAGGAGUAGCAAUGGGUGUUGCAGCCGAUGAAGUAUUAGGGGACGAUGAUGAUUCGGAGGUCGUGCCCAUUCACGCGAGACCUGGGACGACGGAAAGUGUGUACAGUGGGACAGUGUGGACCACGGCCAGUGUGAACAAUGCAACAACGGAGUCGAGUACGACGACGCCACAGUCUGCAGGUUGACGUGAAGGGUAAUAACUAUUGCCUGAUCAAUGUCUCAGUGCUAGAUCGUAUGGGGCCGUCAGAGUGGAUUUGAAUGUGAAAUGCAACUAUGGGACCCGUUUUAAGACGAGCAAGUUCGAUUUGUGAGAAGUAUAAAUUCCAAAGAGAUAUGACGCUAUAUUGGGAUAUGCUGUUUGGAUACCAAAACUGGUGAUCCCAAUAAAUGUUGUCUUACCUUCUGGUCAUGUA
Long non-coding RNA from Ornithodoros turicata, 869 nucleotides. RefSeq lists it as uncharacterized. The record is from RefSeq and is a predicted model, not a curated record. The transcript has 2 exons. NCBI's taxonomy places the organism in Eukaryota, Metazoa, Arthropoda, Arachnida, Ixodida, Argasidae.